Long non-coding RNA from Vitis vinifera (wine grape), 538 nucleotides. RefSeq lists it as uncharacterized. The transcript is spliced from 4 exons. NCBI's taxonomy places the organism in Eukaryota, Viridiplantae, Streptophyta, Magnoliopsida, Vitales, Vitaceae. The record is from RefSeq and is a predicted model, not a curated record.
GGAGUCGAAAGAAUCAACUCCGGCAUAUCCUAGUGUUGGGAGGUUUGCUGAUAAUAUGUGCUAUCAACAGUACAGUGCUUCACUCAAAUGUGUUGAGUAUGAUGAAACUGGACAUGGAUGUUUGCUUGUCUUAGCUGAUAUGUUCUUGUAGUUUGUGAUAAGUUUGAAGGCUAGUGUUAUUUCAUAUGGAUUCAAGGUAAAAAAUUCUAGUAGAUAUUUGAUAAUCAAUGAUAUUUCUCAUACAUUGUGAUUAUUCUAAAGUUAUUGACUCCAUUCACUUGUAUGCGCGAAUCCCAUCUUUGGGUCAAUCCAACUCCUGCCUGCCAAGUGCUCAAUCAUCAAGAUGACAAGCUUCUUGACUUGAUCUACAACCAAGCUUAAGCUAAAUUUAUGGCUCUUCCUAAUUAAUAGAUUAGUUCUGAAAGGGUCUAGAAUCAAACUCAGAUAAGAGCAAAUGUCAGGAACAAUUCGAUGUUUACAAGGAAUGCAAGAAAAAGGAGGUUUUGCACAAAUCAGUGGCUCUCACUAAUCCUUAAAC